UACGGAGGAUGCGAGCGUUAUCCGGAUUUAUUGGGUUUAAAGGGUGCGCAGGCGGCACGGCAAGCCGGCGGUCAAAUCGCGGGGCUCAACCCCGCCCAGCCGUCGGAACUGCCGGGCUAGAGUGGGCGAGAAGUGCGCGGAAUGCGUGGUGUAGCGGUGAAAUGCAUAGAUAUCACGCAGAGCUCCGAUUGCGAAGGCAGCGCACCGGCGCCCUACUGACGCUCAGGCACGAAAGCGUGGGUAUCGAACAGG
This 252-nucleotide ribosomal RNA is filed under the name uncultured bacterium. Its description in RNAcentral is "partial 16S ribosomal RNA". It matches the Rfam family "Bacterial small subunit ribosomal RNA", at positions 524 to 776 of the family's 1533-position model. The record is from RNAcentral.